UACCGUCCGCAUACUGGCAUUGGGGGUUGUUGUAGAACUGGACCCAAACGUAGUCAAAUAAACCGGUUUGGAUAGCGCCGUCUAGGUGAGCAUCCGGGAUCGGACAUUGUGGAGCUGCGGCUAAAUAGACCGUUUUUGCCUGUCCGUUGUGUCCGUUGAGUGACUUGGCGAGCUCAUCAUAGAACUGCGCACCACCCGCCUCAAUGUCGAAAUCAACGCCGUCCAAAACCGCGUCCCCAAGCGGGCGCGAAGCUGACUGACCACCUAAGAAGUUGUUCCAGAUGUAAUCAGCAACUUGCCUUGCAUCAUCAGCUGAAGUGAGAGAGUAACUUCCGGCGGCCCCUCCAAUCGAGAGGAGGACUUUUAUGUUUUUUGAUUGGCAGGUUCUGAUGUCGGCACUCAGCCCGGUGCAAGUACCACUAGCGGGGUCGCAGUGGCCGGCGAGGUUUAGGACAGGGGUUUGGUUGUUUCCGAAAGUAGUGAGGAAAGCUAUGUUAACAAACUGGUAGUUGCCUGAGUUGCAAGCAUCUGCUAGGGUUCCUUCGUUUCCGUUUUGGCCCCAAUAGACCGCAAUUCCGGCGGCUUGGGAGGACUUGCAUGAAGAAAUGAGGAUCAAGAGGGACAGCGUUAGGGCUAGGGUUUGUGUUUUGGAUGCCAUUUUUAUAUGUUUUUUUGGGUUGUUGUUCAAAGUGCUUGGGAGUGGACAUGUACUUAUAGGUGCAGGGGACUUAUCGGUUAAGGUUUAGGGGAAGAAAAGUAUGACAGACGUGUUCUGCAGGUAAGAGUCUUCUGCUUGCAACCGCGUCAAUCACGUUAGGGCCUGUUUAUUUAGUCCAAGUUUCACUUUACAACUUAGAACACGUCAAUUAAAUUAGGUCGGGUUGAAAAUGCAUUUUCCAAAACCACUUUCACACAUAAGCGCUUCUUAUAUUUUCAUAAAAAUGCAAGUGGUUUUAUAAAAAAAAAAACUUGAGGUGUUUGGCGUGUGUUUUUUCAGAAAGCACUUAAAAUAUUUUUUCAACCUAAAAUCACUGAAUUUUUUAUGAUUUCAAAGUUCUUUUAAUUGUUUUGAAGGCACUUCCAACUGAUAUUUUAUAAAAAAUUACUUCUAGAGAGAAUUAUAGCAUGCUAAUUGAGAGAUUCCGAAACUAAAAAGCCAUCAAAUUUGCCAAAAAAAAAAUCUGAUGAGACAAUACGUGGAGAAUCAACACAGCUGUAUCAUCACCAAAAAUUUUCAGUGUGCAGAAAUACAGUCCGGUACAAAGUGUUAUAAUAAAAUUGGUUGAUUUUUUUUUUUAAGUUUCCAACUAAUUAUAUUAUUACACUUGAUGUACCGAUCCGUAUUUCUGAAAAAUCUCUCCUUACCAUCACAUCACAUGAAUGUUUUGGAAAGUUCGUAGAUAGAAACCAAAAUCUCUCCUUAUCAUCACAUCACAUCACAUGAACGUUUGGGAAGCUCGUCGAUAGAAACCAAAUGGAAUAUGCUUUUAGCUGAGGAUGGCCAUUGGCCAGGGACUUCGGUCUAAUCACGAUGCUUUAAUUUCGCAGUCGGAAAAAAACUUUCGAAUAAAAUUUAGGGUAUAUUUAGGAAGUGUUUUUAAAUGAUUGAAAACAUUUUUAGAAAUAUUUUUUUUUAAAAACGUUUCCAGUCAUUUAAAAAAACUUCUUAAACGAGUUUAAUUACUUGUGUAUGGGGCAACAUUUAGCUAGUAAUGGUUCUCAUGAAUUGGAUUGUGGUGAUGUGAAAAUGGGUUUGGGUUAGUUUAGUUUAGAGUUUAUAUUUACUAUCCGGUGCAUGCAAAUGGAAUGUCAAAUCUUUCAGAGAAAUUUUGAUAGAACUGCCACUUAGGGCAACACAUAUUAAACAAACAAAUGUAGGGUUGGAGAAGACUAAAAUACAUGAAUUCUCGUGUUUUCAUAAAUGUGAUCUAAAAAUAAUAUAGCAUGUGCCCUGAGAACAACGUGAUCAGUACCUAAUCGAAGUUCUCUAGUGUGGAAAGAUUCAAGAGGGGUGUGACGCUUCCGACAAAUAAAAAAUCACACAUUUUCGAAUUCGGAAAUGUAUAGAACAGAGCAGAUAUCACUAGAUGAAUGUUAACUGUUUUACAGAAAAUUUAUAAGACAAUUAGAGUUAAACAACAGAAGCUUGCACUUUAAAUGGUUAUGUCCAGCUGCUUUUGGUAUGUAUAUGCUUUUUCCAUGUCUCGAUGUAGUUCCAGUUCACUGCUCAUCAUCCUGGAACAAUGCUUUCGAAACAGAGCCGCACGGCUGGCUACUGUAUUCUCGGUAAUCUUCAUCGUCAUCACAGCUGCGUUGCGAGCAUGAACGUUUGAUUCCUGUCAUUGGGGUUUCACAGACUCUGUCAUCGCAUGAACCUCUAUGAUCCUUCCUUUUAAACAGCUUUCGAAGCGGAUUUGACUUUGGUUUCAAUGGUUUCAGCCGUUUGGGGGCCCAAACUCUCUGCAGAUCGGGCAUCCAUCUUGUGGAUGAAGCGAAUCUCCAAGCCCUCUCUCUCCUCUCUUGAGCUUCAAGUAACUUGCGAGCAUGGUCGUCCUAUUGUUUGAUCUCUUCGACGCUUGGUCUUCCAAUAUCAGUUUUCAGCGGACGAAGAGACUCACCUUCUGCUUGUAAUGAGUCCCAGAUUCUAUAACUUCCAUCCACUUCGACACUCUUCGGUUUUUCUUUACAGGAUCGAUUGCUAUCCUCACUGUUGAGUAAACUAUUAGGGAGUUCUUCCUCAUCAGCAAACAGUAACAAAUCCAUUUUCGUAUAGAUUUUGUGAACCACAUCUUCAAGUGUCUCACAGUACCUGAAAAAUGUCCAAAUUCAGGCUCUUGACAAUUUGACAAAGCAUUUCAUUGAAAAGGUUCAAUCCUUACUACCAUUAUAAUUUAUAAUGUGUUGUAUGGUUUACCUCGUAAUGGUGCUAAGUUAUUUCUACAGUUUUGGGGCAUUUUUUUUGCAGUUUCGGUGCAAUUUUGAUGCAGUUCUUUUUUUUUGCAAUUUUGCUGCAUUGUUGUUGCUGUUUUUGCUGCAUGUUCAUUGAUUAAUAAAAAGGUCGUACCCAGUGCACAAGGCUCCCUUGAUUAAUAUAUGAGAAAAAUAAGACUGUCAUAUGCUUAAAUAGGUGUAUAUUUUAAAUUAUACAUUUUUUUUUCAAAAAUCGAACCGAAACUGUUUGAAACCGUACCGCACCAAACCAAACGGUUUGGUUUCAUUUCAGUUUUGGCUUCAAAACUGCACCGAACCGCACCGCAAAAAAAUUUGGUUUCGGUUGCGGUUUCACUCGAAACCGCACCGAAGCGCACCGCGCCCACCCCUACAGGGGACUUGUCGAUGAAGGUUUAGGGGAAGAGAAGUAUGACAGACGUGUCUUGCGGGUACAAAAUGGGUGCCAGUCUUCUGCAUGCAUGGAACCGCGUGAACCAAGUUAGGGCCUGUUUAGUCCAAGUUUCACUUGACAACUUAGAAAUUUGUCAAUUAAGUUAGGUCGUGUUGGAAAUUCUUUUUUCAAAAACCACUCAUAAGUGCUUUUAAUAUUUUUCGUAAGAAUGCAAGCGUUUUUAGAAAACACACUCAAGGUGCUUAGCGUGUGCUUUUUUUUAGAAAGCACUUUUAAGUGUUUUUUCAACCUAAAAACACUUGUUUUAAAGACACUUCCAACAAACACAUAAUUAAUGGAAAAUUACUUCCAGAGAGAAAUAUAGCAUGCUAUUUGAGAGAUUCCAAAACUAAAAGCUAAAUAGUUAUUAAGCGUGACCUUAACCAAGGUGAAAUAAAAUAUCAAAUUUGACAAACAAUCUGAUGAACGUCAUAGCUAUAUGUAUAGUCAGUAGAUGAGAUAAUCAUGAAACAAAACGUGGAGAAUCAACACAGCCUUAUCAUGGCCAAAAUUUGUCUGUGUGCCAGAACCACGGCCUAGUACACUAAAAGUGUCAUAAUAGAAUUGGUUGGAAAUUCAUUCGGUUACAACUGACUCUGAAGUCUUUAUUUCUGCACAACCACAUAGUGAGAUGUUUGCUUACCAUGCAACCAUGAUGUCCAAUACUCUUGGUACCUCAAUCGUUGUCUUUACCAAAACUGGUUUUAUGGCUAUUCUAUUGAGCCAUUACCGACCUACCGGGAUCAUAUUUGCCUUCACGAAUGAGUGAGUUUUCAAUUUACCUGUCACAAAGGCAUUUAGUUAAAAUUUGUAACUGUAUCAGUCAAAAUAUGCUGUGAAAGUUCUAUUCAUUAGCAAGUACUUUGAUUGCCAUGCAGUAAGAGCAUACAACGGAGAUUGGCUUUGUAUCAAGGCGUAUGUCCAAUAUAUACAUGGAGUUCACAGAAGAUUCUGAAACAAGCUUUAGCAAUGCCUUGACUGUGCUGAAGGUGAUGUUUUGCUGCAGAUUUCCUAAAUUUAUGGCGACGUAUGCUAUUCAACCAUGCCAGCACUGAUGGUUCAUUUUCUGUUGUUCUGUUUGCAGGAGCAAGGAUUGGUAAAGGCAGGAGAAGAGGUCGCACUCGUUCAAAGUGGCAGGCAACCCAUUUGGCGGCUCCAAUCCACUCACAAAAUUCAAGUGCGCAAAAUUUAGGUGCAACGGAGAUGGAAUAAUCGCCCUCGUAACAUAGAUUUCUUCGUCUACACUACAAAAGUUUCAAAUGAUAGCUUUUGUGUUGUACUUCCAGCGGAAUUGUCGUGAUACUUUCUUCCUUUGGUUGUUUUUUUUCUUCUGUUGCACACUUUUGUGAUCCUAUCAAUGUGCUUCUUUUUGUUUCCGAUUUCCCCCUAGUUAAUUUUGGCGUAUGUUUUAGAACUGUAAGUUGUUAAAGUAUAAAUUUGGCAGUUUGAAUGCAAACUGUCUAAAUUUUUUUAAUAGUUCGAUUGAGGAAACAGAUCGUCACACUCACAUUCUAAUAUCCGCCGCUUACCGUUUGUCGUGUGGCCGUUUAACACUGACUAAGGUAGAUCUCACAUCAGAUCAGCACGGGACUAGGUUCCGUGCUCUUGUGAAAGUUAUUCUACGUACGACGUGAUUCUACACAUGGUUUGUGGUUUGGGCUUGAACCGGUCUCUACGAAAUGAGGCAGAUUUUUUGUUUAUUAACAAAGGUCAAAAGUCAAACAAAAAUUGUUGAUACAGACUAUCUUAAACAAAAUUAAACAACAUUCGCUUGAAUAAUUAUCAAAUUGACAAUGUCUCAUAGGUGAUGCUGUCCAUACACUCUUUUUAUUUUUCACUCACUCCUCCCAAUUUUUAACCGUCAGAUCGAAUAAAUUAAAGAUGAUCAAAAGACAAAAAUUAACUGAAGAUAUGUGAAAGAAAAAACAAAAUGUAUAUAUAGCAUCACCUAUCUUAUUAGGAUAAUGACAUCCGAUUUAUUUGAUAUAAUCUUUUAGGGAAACCAAAACGUUGAGUUACAAAAGUCAAACUCUUCCGAUGAUGGAAUAACUAUAUCCAUUUUUAUCAUCACAAAACUCGGACCCUAACAUCACACCACCAUACUUCGACGACUUCUUUAUCACCAGUAGAAUUUCCGAAUUCAGCAAAGCAGCCACAAUAUACCCACUUCUGGCCACCUCAGGAGUGGCCGGCAACCCCAAAAACAUCUUCCCUUUCUAAUACAUUAAUGAUGUCAGUUGGCGUCUUAACAAGAUGGGAGACUUUGGAGUCGCUUUAUUGGGAUCUCCCGAGUACUCGGUACUCUAUGUAUUUUAACCGUUAAAUCUUUGUUUAAAAAUAUAAAAAUCAAAUUCUAACAGUUAAAAUAUUCAAAAUAUCCAUAGUACCGCUCGAAAUUUUUUGAGACAUUAAAUGCAAUCCCUCCAAGAAAUCAUCUCAAAUUUUUUUGAGACAUUAAAUGCGAUCUCUCCAAGAAAUUAUUAGAUUAUACCGUAGUACCAUCUCAGCCGUGGUAGUUUCAUCCAAAGGCUAGCCUUUACAAUAUGAGCUAGCCAGCCUUCAUGCACACAGUGCCUGCCAAUCAUGUAAAACCAUUGACAAUGAUACAUGACAAUUUAUUUGGACCUAUAACUUCAUUUCAUAACUACAUCAGAUAACCGUUUAUGUGCAACUAUAUUUUAUUCAAUUUCAAAAAUUAGCAUAUGCAAUGACAUGUUUUAUCGUAAAAAGUACAAGAAAUUUUCAACGUAUCACAAAUACAAAGUGUUAUACCACAUGUCAUUAUAUAAAGAGAAAUUUUUUAUAUUUUAAGUCUGUCUCCACUUAUAUAAUAUGUGUUGUACCAUCCGAAUUCCGGAUCAGUAAAAGAUCUCUCCAAAAAUACAUAUGCAUGUUUUAUUCAAAAGGUUAGGAAUGAUGCGUCAUCAUCCCUAACGCACUUUAUUAUAAGUAGUAUCAUCCAUUGAGGCAGAGAAGUUAAUUAGAUGCUGUCCUUAAUGGAUGCACUAUAGCCGUUGACAAUGUCAUACUGCCUGCCCCAGAGCAUAAUUCCUCCGUACUUGGGCGAUUUCUUAAUCGUUGGAAGAACUUGUGACUUGAGAGCGUCAGCAGGAAUAAAUCCGCCGCCCGGAGCGGCCUCAGGAGCUGCCGGUAUACCCAAGAACACCUGGGUGGCCGGAACCGAGGCCCAUUGGUUCCAACUGCUCAAAAGAGCGUCGGCAUUACCGUCUGCAUACUGGCAUGGGGGGUUGUUGUAGAACUGAACCCAAACGUAGUCAAAUAAACCGGUUUGGAUAGCGCCGUCUAGGUGAGCAUCCGGGAUCGGACAUUGUGGAGCUGCGGCUAAAUAGACCGUUUUUGCCUGUCCGUUGUGUCCGUUGAGUGACCUGGCGAGCUCAUCAUAGAACUGCGCACCACCCGCCUCAAUGUCGAAAUCAACGCCGUCCAAAACCGCGUCCCCAAGCGGGCGCGAAGCGGACUGACCACCUAAGAAGUUGUUCCAGAUGUAAUCAGCAACUUGCCUUGCAUCAUCAGCUGAAGUGAGAGAGUAACUUCCGGCGGCCCCUCCAAUCGAGAGGAGGACUUUUAUGUUUUUUGAUUGGCAGGUUCUGAUGUCGGCACUCAGCCCCGUGCAAGUACCACUAGAGGGGUCGCAGUGGCCGGCGAGGUUUAGGACAGGGGUUUGGUUGUUUCCGAAAGUAGUGAGGAAAGCUAUGUUAACAAACUGGUAGUUGCCUGAGUUGCAAGCAUCUGCUAGGGUUCCUUCAUUGCCGUUUUGGCCCCAAUACGUCGCGAUUCCGGCGGCUUGGGAGGACUUGCAUGAAGAAAUGAGGAUCAAGAGGGACAGCGUUAGGGCUAGGGUUUGUGUUUUGGAUGCCAUUUUUGUAUGUUUUUUUGGGUUGUUGUUCAAAGUGCUUGGGAGUGGACUUGUACUUAUAGGUGCAGGGGACUUAUCCGUUAAGGUUUAGGGGAAGAAAAGUAUGACAGACGUGUUCUGCGGGUUAGAAAUGGGUGCCAGUCUUCAGCUUGGAACCUCGUCAAUCAAGUUAGCUAGGGCCUGUUUAGUCCAAGAAGUUUCACAUAAAACGCCGAUUAAGUUAGGUCGGGUUGGAAAUGCUUUCUUCAAAAACUACUUACACACGUAAGCGCUUCUUAUAUUUUUCAUAAGAAUGCAAGUGCUUUUGAAAAAAAACACUUGAGCUGUUUCGUGUGUUUUUUUCAGAAAAUACUUUAAAUGUUUUUUCAAACUAAAAAUCCAUUAAAGCUCCUUUACUUGUUUAAGGGCACUUCCAAAAUCAUAUUUAAAGAAAAAUUACUUCUAGAGAGAAUUAUAACAUGCUAAUUGAGAGAUCCCGAAACUAGAAACUAGAUAGUUAUAAUGAAGCGUGACCUUAACUGCUUAAUUAAGUGAAAAAAGCCAUCAAAUUUGACAAAAAGUCUGAUGAAAGGUCAUAGCUGUAUCAUCUGUAGAUGAGAUAAUCAUGAAACAAUGUGGGGAAUCAACACAUCCUUAUCAUCGUCAAAAAAAAAAAUUCACUGUGCUGGAAGCACGUUCAAUUGAACGUUUUGGAAGUUUGUGGAUAGAAACCAAAUGGAAUAUGCUUGUAACCAAAAUUGCUGGCUGCUAUAUACAUCUUGGAUUUUAGCUGAGGUGGCCAUUGGCCAAGGACUUUGGUCUAAUCACGAUGCUUUAAUUUCGCAAUCCAAAAAAAAAAUUCAGAUAAAAUUUAGAACACGUUUUGGGAGUGCUUUCAAAUUACUGAAAGCGAUUUUAGAAAGAAAAAAAAUGUUUAUAUAACUAAUCUUUAAUAAAAAUGCAAGUUAAUCCUCCAAAAGUACUGAAACUAGUGCUUCUUUGAUAAAACACUUCAAGUGCUUUUGGAGCUCAAAAAUAUUAUCUCAAGUGGUUUCAGUCAUUUAAAAACACUUUCUAAACGAGUUAAUGACUCGUGUAUGGGGCAACAUUUAGCAAGUAACGGCUCUCAUGAAUUGGAUUGUGGUGAUGUGAAAAUGGGUUUGGGUAAGUUUAGUUUAGACCAGUCAGCAGUGUUUAAAAUAUCCACGACAUUAUCGAUAUUUUCGUUGAAAUAUCCUUAAAAUUAAGGGUCCAUAAGCAAAAGAAGGAUGAAAUGCAAACUUCACCCUAUAUCGGCAAGAUACAAGAAAACAAUGAAUAUAGACAAUAUGUAACAACUCGUCCCAAGAUUUACUGUAUAUAAAUGGUAUUUUUGUAUUUUCAUCAAGUUUGGGAAUUUAUCUUCCUUUUAAAAUUUGUUUUUGGUCUUAAAUGGUGAUCCAAGGGGACCCACUCCCCUGAUUUUGUCCCCGAGCCCUCUUCUCUCUUUCUUCCUCUCCUCUUCCCUUUCCCCUUUCCCGUAUACUUCUAUUCCUCUCUUCUCUAUGAUCACACUCACACCCAGCUGCACUCCCUGCUCGAGGAAGACGCAAUCACCAUCUAAACCACGUCCCUUUCCUCUUCCUCUUGCCUCUGUGCAACUCGGCGAAACCAAGAAAAUAACCUCCGGCAAGUCCGACGGCUUUCGAAGCCAUUUCCUGCCAAACCACGGCGCGUUGGCCGGCGUGCAAGGUAUCAAUCUCUUCGUCCCGUCAAGUACUAUAACUUUUCUUUUUGUUUCACUCAAUUUAAUUGAGUAUUGAAGAAGUUAUACUCAUUUGAAUCUUACCCAGUUUCCGGCGACCUCCGAGGCUUUCGAGGAAAUUUCAGGCCAAACCAUGGCGAGUCAGACGUGAGGUAUCAUUCUCUUCGUCUCUUCCAGGACUACAACUUUCGUUUUUGUCUCGCUUGAUUUCGUUGAGUAGUGACAAAGUUAUGGCUGUUUAAAGUGGGGUGGUUUUCCGGCCGAAUUUCCGGCCUUCUUCUUCCUUGGCAACAGGCCACCCGGCCUUUCCCUCUCCCUCGGACCUUAGGCCCGUGUUGUCUUAAGCCCAAAACCCUAGCCUUUAGUUUUAAGUUUUAUUAUUUGGUUUUAAAACCCUAAAAAGGGCCUUGGGCCGGUGGUUUUUAAAAAGGGCUUAAAGCCCUGUUUUUCUUUAUUUAUUUUUAUUAAGGCCUUAAGGCCUUGUGAUUUUGUGCCCGUGGGUGUGUGUGUUAGGUGUGUAUGUGUUUAUGCAUGCACAUGCAUGCCGUGUGUGUGUGUGUAUUUGUAGUAUGUGUGUGUUUGGGCUAAAGCCCAAACCCCAAUUCUCACCCUAAAACCAUUUUAACCCAAAAUCCUAGGUUCCUAAAAUCCUUUAAAACCCUAAACCCAUCCAAUCCCAAAUCCCCUAUUUUAUUUAAACCUAAACCCUAAUCCGGAUUUCAAGCCUAAAACCCAUUUGACCGUUGACCCCCGGUCAACGUUGAUUUUAGGGUUGACUUUUCGGGUUUUCGUCCGGGACCCUUCUUAGGGUAAUUCGACGUUCUAAAUCCGUUUCCAAUGUCCAUUUUCCCAAAUUCAAUUGUUAUUAUAUAGUUUUAUUUAUUGGACUCUUUAUGUGCUUAGGGGCAAUUAUUGUGACGUUUCCAUCUUCGCUAGUGGCACAGCUUUUGGCAACUAAGUAUUGUGAGUGGACCCCUUCUAGAAUUACAUGAUUUGAUAAUUUAAUUGCAUAAAUGAUUAGCAUGCCUACGAAUUUAUGAUUUGAUUUAUGUGAAGCCUGAUGAUUUAAUAUAUUGAUUAUCGUCUCGGGUUUUGGUGAGGAAUUAUUUGUUAGCCUAUAUUGAGCUAUAUUUUAAUAUAUCGUAUUUUCUAUUAAAACCAUGAACUGGUAGACUAUCUGAUAGAUGACGAUAGGAUGCUAGAACAUGUUUUUGAACCCCUCUUUAUAGUGUAGACGAUGAUCGGUAACCUAUGCUAUGAAGUGGUUUUUUUUAGAGAGACGUAACUAUUUGUGCGUACCUAGUAGACACUAUGCCGCCUGGGGCAAGGAACUGGUGUUGGCAUUUAGGCCGGGAGAAAUAAUCCCUAGCGAAAGGCUGAGGGACACGGAGACAGGCAGUGGGCCAAGAGGGAGUUAUCUCUGGCUACGGGCACAGAGACUGAGGUGCAAGCAUUGGGCCGGGAGUUAUAUUUAUUCAGUGAUCUUUCUAGCAGCACACUGCGUUUACGAGACGAUUUAUGAUGCGUUUACUGUUUUGAUUUCCGCGAUGUUUUUCCGCGUUAUGGCGUUUGAGAUAUUUUUGGCAUACUAGGAUUUUUAUUAAAUCCAUCACUUAUUAUGCUAGUAGUUUUCAUUUAUAUAAACUUUGGGGGUUAGUAUGUUGAUAAUUGUUUUAUUAUUAUUGUAUAUAUAAACUUGGUCCACUCACCUUUGUUUUGCGCCCCCAUUCAGGACUUAGAAUCAAGGCACCUAAUCCCGGCGUGAAGACACUUUCGCAGCAGCAUCUUCGGAUCCUCUCGAUGUAGGACUCACUCCUUUACUCAUUAAAUUUUAUCUUAAUUCUUUUUAGUGAUUAGAUUUAGUUGUAUGCUCUGAGCACGUUCCUAAAACUUUUAACUCUUAGUUUUUAAAUUCAUAACACUUACUUAUUUCUUAUUCUUAGCUUUUGUAUCAAUUAAUGGCUUUCGUCACCCUCGGGUGUCGGCCAGCAUGUGUCUUCCUGGUAUUCGGGGAAUAUCAGGGUCGGGGCGUGUCACAAUAUUUACGGAUUAAUUACAAAAUUUUGCUAAUACCUAUUGCAGAUUUCGAACUGUAGAAUUUUUUUUAUAAAUUUUUUCUUUAAUUUCAACUAAAUCUGAAUGAGUACUUACCCCAUUGUAAAUUUCCAUCGAAGACUUUCCAACUAUAUCGAUAUUUUAAACACUGGUUUAGACCAACAUGUUUAAUAUCCAGUGCAUGCAAAUAGAAUGUCAAAUCUUUUUGAAAAACUUCAGUAUGACUGCCACUUAAGGGCAACUAGCAUAUUAAAGAGACCAAUGCAAAGUUGGAUGAGACUAAAAUACAUAAAGUCUCAUGUUUUGGUGAGAUGUGGUUUACAAAUGAUAUAGCAUGUGCCCUACGAAAAACGAGAUCGGAUUACCUAAUUGAAGUUUCUCUAGCAUGAAAAAUUCAAGAGGGAUGUGACGGUUCCGGAAAGUAAAAAAUCACACAUUUUUAUUAAUAAUUUUUUUGUUCGAAUUCGGAAAUGUAUAGAACUGAACAAAUGGAAUAGUGGCUCAGUGAUACCAACAAUUUCAUGUUGCAAAUUACAAAAAAAAAAAAAAAAAAAAAAAAAAAAGGAAAUGUUUUACACAAAAUUAAUGACAAUUAGAGUUAAACAACAGAAACUUGCACUUUAAAUGGUUUUUUUCUGCUGCUUUUGGUAUGUAUAUGCUUUUUCCGCACCGCUGGCUACUGUAUUCUCGGUAAUUUUCAUCGUCAUCCCAGCUGCGUUGCGAGCAUGAACGUUUGAUUCCUGUCAUUGGGGUUUCACAUACUCUGUCAUCACAUGAACCUCCAUGAUCCUUCCUUUUAAACAGCUUUCGAAGUGGAUUUGACUUUGGUUUCAAUGGUUUCAGCUGUUUUGGGGCCCAAAUUCUCUGCAGAUCGGGCAUCCAUCUUGUGGAGUAAGCGAACCUCCGAGCCCUCUCUCUCCUCUCUUGAACUUCAAGUAACUUGCGAGCAUGGUCGUCCUUUUGUUUGAUCUCUUCAGCGCUCGGUCUUCCAAUAUCAGUUUUCAGCGGACGAAGAGACUCACCUACUGCUGGUAAUGAAUCCCAGAUUCUAUAACUUCCAUCCACUUCGACACUCUUCGGUUUUUCUUUACAGGAUCGAUUGCUAUCCUAACUGUUGAGUAAACUAUUAGGGAGUUCUUCCUCAUCAGCAAACAGCAACAAAUCCAUUUUCUUAUAGAUUUUGCGAACCACAUCUUCAAGUGUCUCACAGUACCUGAAAAAUUCCAAAUUCAAAGAUUAAUCUAUCUGCUUAAGUUAAUUUUCCAUCUCAAACAAAAAUUGAUUGCCCGCACAUGUACUUCCGGAAAACUAAUUCCAGGAACGGAUUAUUUAAGCAACAUCGUUUCUUCAAGGAUCAUACUGUAGACAUACACUAUUGGCACAUUGCAAAAGUUGUAUAAACAUAUUCCACACUCGUUCAGAAAAACAUGGGUACGAUGUGCGCAUAACUGGCCUAUAUCCUGUCAAUCUACACUGAUAAGGAAAGACACUUUAACUCAUCUAAGAUUAUAAAGACAACCACUUUCCUUAUUUAGCAUUGUUGCAAAGGUAAGUAGGACAUGAUUUGUUAGAUAGGUAGUAAUAUCCCACAUGAAAGUGGAACACAGUGGCACCGGAAAUGUGUAUUUGUUGAGACAUGAACGAUAGACUGAAUGCAGCGUGUGCUAUAUAGCCUUUCAGCGAAAGCCAUAAUGCCUCAGUAAAACAUCCAUUAUAUAAAGUAAAGAAUAAUUUCAAGGGUAGGGGUUUUCAACUGUGGUACAGAUUUAUUACCUGCUUUUUAUGAUCUUUUCAACAUAAUCAUACACUCCAGUCACCAAAGAAGCCCUCCAGAUGACAUCGAAUUUUCUCCAAAAAGGAGCAAAUCUGUUUUACAGACUUCUGUUUUGUAGAUUCAGCAAUACGUGCACCAACCUCUGAUUGUAGUAUCUCCAUCCGGAAAAAUAUCUGCAAUUCAUAUCGUGCACGAGCUGGCGCAAGGAGGCGGCGAAGCACGAAGCCCGGGGCGGCGAUGCCGGGUCGAGGCGAAAUGCGGGGAGGGAAUUGAGGGUUUGGGAGAGGGAAUUGAAAGUGGGGCCGGGGAGGUGGAAAGAGAGGGAGAGAGAAGUGGGGAGCUUGGAGGAGGAGAGCAGCGGAGAGAGGGAGGAGAAGAAGGGUCUGAAGGCGAAGAGAGAGGCGGAGAGAGGAGGGAAAGAGAGGAUGGUUUUGACGGCGGCGAGGAAGGCUGUGAGAAAUGGAGCUGGGUUUUGGAGGUGGAGGAGUGGGUUGAGGCCUAGGAGGAGGACGAUGCGCUGCGUUUUGCCGUAGUCGGCGAUUGGGUCGCCGGAGCUCCGUUCAGAUGCCAUCGCAUUUGCAGGAGGAGAAAGAGACGGACUUGGGUUGCAGAGAAGGGAGAUGCAAAUGUGGAAUUAAGGAACAGUAAACCGAAUACGCAGUCGUUUUAGUAGAAAAACGACGAUACGGUAGAUGCUUGAGCGGGAAACCAAAUUUUGGCUGUAAAGGAAAUGUUUUAGGCCCCGUUUGGGAUUGAGGUGAUUUUAAAAAAAGCCACUGUGAAAAAAAGCUGAGGGUCAUUUUUGUGUUUGGUAAACUGAAAAAAGGGCUUAUUUUGGAAGCUGCUGUGAAAAUAAGCUGAAAAUCAAAGGAAAAGCUGAAGCUGCUAUUUGCUGCUUUGAAAAAAAGCCAGUUUUUUCAAAGCACACAGAGCUACAAUGCUCCUUUAAUGAAAAGACACACUAUCAUCCUGAUUUUUUUUCCAAAAGCACUUUCACAAAAAAGUUUACCAAACACUCUACUGCUUUAUUUCACAGCCGCUUAUUCUCACAGCACAGCCGCUUAUUCUCACAGCAGCUUUUUUUCAAAGCACAGCAAUACCAAACCAGCCCUUAAUCUCAUGAAGGACCUGUUUGGACUGCAUCUAAAUUUGUUAAAAGCGCUUUUAGAGAACAAAAGAGCUUUUGACAUCAGUUGAAAAAAAAAAAAUAUUUAAAGUACUUCUUCACGUGAAAAAAACACAUGGUUUUUAAUGAAAAUUCCAACAUGAUUUGAAUGAAAGUGCUUUCAAAAAGUAUUAUGAAUAGAUAUGCUUUUUUAUAUGCUUCUAUGAAAAGUGCUUUUUGCAAACAAUGUCGGGCUCGUUUGUAAUUACUUUUAAAAUGGUUGAAAGUGUAUUUCGUAAAAAUAUUUUUAGAAACAAUAUUUAGUAAAAUGCAAGUGAAUCCUAAAAAAAACACUUCAAGAAUAGAACAACCAAAGGGGCGAAAACUGUAAACCUCAUAGCAACCGAAUUACAAUUCGAGAACAUACCCGUUACUGAAUCCCAAAUCGCUGGUUCCCAAGUGUAGUCAUGCACAAGCUCGUUUAGAACCAAUAUUUUCUCUAAGAACGAUUUCAAUCAUUUGAAAAACAUUUUUAAACGAACUGAUGUUUUUAGGAGAAACACAAUGAGGAGCAAAUGAUUCCUAGGCGAGAAGAAAAACUAGACAGAAUGUUAAAUAGCACAUUAUGUACCAAUUUUUCUUCAACAAAUUGGAACUACUGAGAAGUUUGGAAACUAAAAAGUAAAGAUUGAUUCUAAGGAUUCUAACCCUGAUGAUUGCUUAUACAGUCGAACUACUUGAAUAGACUGGACUACCGAAGAUAAACUCAUACAUAUACGAAUUAUUAAAAAGUGAAAGAGGCUCAUCUCAGUUUUUUUUUUUUUUUUUAGUUGAAAGAAAAAAAAGGUAAAACAUGGAGAAGAUCAUGAACAGUAAUGGGUUUUAGUAUAUAUAAAUAUAAUUUGUAACUGUAUCUGUCCAAAUAUGCCGUGCAAGUUCUAUUCAUUAGCAGGUACUUUGAUUGCCAUGCAGUAAGAGCAUACAACGGAGAUUGGCUUUGUAUCAAGGCGUACGUCCCAUACACCUCUUUUAUGGGUGAUGCUGUCCACACACUUCUUUUAAUUACCAGUCGUCAUAUAGAAUGAAUUCAAGAGGAUCAAAUGACUAAAAUUAACAGAGAAUAUGUAAAAGAUAAACCAGAGUGUAUGGAUAACACCACCCUAUCUUAUUAGGAUAAUAACAUCCGAUGUGUUUGAUAUAAUCUUUUAGGGACUAACCAAAACAUUGAGUUACAAAAGUCAAACACUUCCGAUGAUGGAAGAACUAUAUCCACUUCUAUCGUCACAAAACUUGGACAAUAACAUCACACCACCAUACUUUGACGACUUCUUUAUCACCGGCAGAAUUUCCGAAUUCAACAAAGCAGCCGGAACAUACCCACUCUUGGCCGCCUUAGGAGCCGCCAGCAACCCCAAAAACAUCUUCCCUGUCUAAUACAAUGAUGUCACUUGGCGUCUUAACAAGAUGGGAGACUUUGGAGGGACUUUAUUGAGUACUCCAGAGUACUCAGUACUCUCAUUUGUUUAAAAAUAUAAAAAUCAAAAUCUAACGAUUAAAACAUCUAGAGUAUCCAUAUAUAGUACUGCUCAAAACUUUUUGAGACAUUGGACGUGAUCCCUCCUAGAAAUUAUUAAGUUAUACAGUAGUACACUUCAGCCGUGAUACUUUCAUUCAAAGGCUAGCUUUAUACUAAUAUGUGAUACUUUCAUUCCAUAUUUGAGAGCCAUUGGAUAAGUAUAAAGCUAACCUUUACAAUAUGAGCUAGUUAGUUAGCCUUCACACACACAGUGCCUGCCUAUCAUGUAACCAUUGACAAUGAUACCCGACAAUUUAUUUGGAGAGAGGGUCCUCACUCAUUUAUUUGGACCUAUAACUUCAUUUCAUAAUAACUCCAUCACAUCAUUUUAUGUACCAUAGUUUAUUCAAUUUCAAAAAUUAGUACACGCAAUAACAUGUUUUAUCGUAAAAUAUACGAGGUUUUUUAGUAUAUUAGAAAUACGAGAUGAUGCACCACAUGUCAUUAUAUAAAUGAAGAGAAAUUUUUUUUUUUUUUAAAUGUGCCUCCACUUAUAUAAUGUAUUGUACCACCCAAAUUCUGAAUAAGUGAAAGAUCUCUCCAAAAAAUACAUAUGCAUGUUUUAUUCAAAAGGUAAGGAAUGAUGCGUCAUCAUCCCUAACACACUUUAUUAUAGUAGUAGCAUCAAUUGAGGCAGAGAAGUUAAUUAGAUGCUGUCCUUAAUGGAUGCACUAUAACCGUUGUCAUAGAACCUGCUCCAAAGCAUAACUCCUCCGUACUUGGGCGAAUUCUUAAUCGUUGGAAGAACUUGUGACUUGAGAGCGUCAGCAGGAAUAAAUCCGCCGCUUGGAGCGGCCUCAGGAGCUGCCGGUAACCCCAUGAACACCUGGGUGGCCGGAACCGAGGCCCAUUGGUUCCAACUGCUUAAAAGAGCGUCGGCAUUACCGUCUGCAUACUGGCAUGGGGGGUUGUUGUAGAACUGAACCCAAACGUAGUCAAAUAAACCGGUUUGGAUAGCGGCGUCCAGGUGAGCAUCCGGGAUCGGACAUUGUGGAGCUGCGGCUAAAUAGACCGUUUUUGCCUGUGCGUUGUGUCCGUUGAGUGACCUGGCGAGCUCAUCAUAGAACUGCGCACCACCCGCCUCAAUGUCGAAAUCAACGCCGUCCAAAACCGCGUCCCCAAGCGGGCGCGAAGCGGACUGACCACCUAAGAAGUUGUUCCAGAUGUAAUCAGCAACUUGCCUUGCAUCAUCAGCUGAAGUGAGAGAGUAACUUCCGGCGCCCCCUCCAAUCGAGAGGAGGACUUUUAUGUUUUUUGAUUGGCAGGUUCUGAUGUCAGCACUCAGCCCCGUGCAAGUACCACUAGGGGGGUCGCAGUGGCCGGCGAGGUUUAGGACAGGGGUUUGGUUGUUUCCGAAAGUAGUGAGGAAAGCUAUGUUAACAAACUGGUAGUUGCCUGAGUUGCAAGCAUCUGCUAGGGUUCCUUCGUUGCCGUUUUGGCCCCAAUAGAUCGCAAUUCCGGCGGCUUGGGAGGACUUGCAUGAAGAAAUGAGGAUCAAGAGGGACAGAGUUAGGGUUAGGGUUUGUGUUUUGGAUGCCAUUUUUGUAUGUGUUUUUUUGGGUUGUUGCUCAAAGUGCUUGGGAGGGGACAUGUACUUAUAGGUGGAGACUUACUGGUUAAGGUUUAGGGGAAGAAAAAUAUGACACACGAGUUCUGCUUGUAAGAAAUGGAUGCCAGUCUUCUGCUUGUCAAUCAAGUUAGCUAGGGCCUGUUUGGUCGAAGUUUCACAUGAAACGUCGAUUAAGUUAGGUCGGGUUGGAAAUGCUUUCUUCAAAAACCACUUACACACGUAAGCUCUUCUUAUAUUUUUCAUAAUAAUGCAAGUGCUUUUGGAAAAAACACGAGAGGUGUUUCGCAUGUGUUUUUUUCAAAAAGCACUUCAAAUAUUUUUUCUACCUAAAAAUCCAUUAAAGCUCCUUUACUUGUUUUAAAGAAACUUCCAAAAUAAUAUUUAAAGAAAAAUUACUUCUAGAGAGAAUUAUAACAUGCUAAUUGAGAGAUCCCGAAACUAGAAACUAGAUGGUUAUAGUGAAGCGUGACCUUAACUGCUUAAUUAGGUGAAAAAAGCCAUCAAAUUUGACAAAAAGUCUGAUGAAAGGUCAUAGCUGUAUGCAUAAUCCGUAGAUGAGAUAAUCAUGAAACAAUACGUGGGGAAUCAACACAGCCUUAUCAUCGUCAAAAAAUUUUAGUGUUCUAGAAACACGAUCUGAUAUACAAAAUGUUUUAACAUCAAUUGAACGUUUUGGAAAUUUGUGGAUAGAAACCAAAUGGAAUAUGCUUGCUAGCUGCUAUAUACAUCUUGGAUUUUAGCUGAGGUGGCCAUUGGCCAAGGACUGCGAUCUAAUCACGAUGCUUUAAUUUCGCAGUACGAAAAAAAUUUCAGAUAAAAUUUAGAACAUGUUUAGGGAGUGCUUUCAAAUCACUGAAAGCGAUUUUAGAAAGAAAAAAAAUGUUUAUACAACUAAUUUUUAAUAAAAAUGCAAGUUAAUUCUCUAAAAGUAUUGAAAUUAGUGCUUCUUUGAUGAAUUACUUUAAGUGCUUUUGGAGCUCAAAAAUAUUUUCUCAAGUGGUUUCAGUUAUUUAAAAACACUUUCUAAACGAGUUAAUGACUCGUGUAUGGCAACAUUUAGCAAGUAAUAGCUCUCAUGAAUUGGAUUGUGGUGAUGUGAAAAUGGGUUUGGGUAAGUUUAGUUUAGAUCAGUCACCAGUGUAUAAAAUAUCCAUGAAAUUGUCGAUAUUUUCAUCAAAAUAUCCUUAAAAUUUAGGGUCCAUAAGGAAAAGAAGGGUAAAAUAUAAAUUUCAACCUAUAUUGGCGAGAUAUAAGAAAACAAUGAAUAUCGACAAUAUUUACCAAUUAACUACAAAAUGUUGCUAAAACCUAUUGCAGAUUUUGAACUUUAGAAUUUUUUUUUUAUAAAUUUUUUCUUUAAUUUCGACUAAAUCUGAAUGAGUUGAUACUUGAUAUGCUUAUCCCAUUGUAAAUUUCCAUCAAAGACUUUCCAACUAAAUCGAUAUUUUAAACAUUGGUUUAGACCCACAUGUUUAAUAUCCAGUGCAUGCAAAUAGAAUGUCAAAUCUUUCAGAAAAACUUCAGUAGGACUGCCACUUAAGGGCAACUAGCAUAUUAAAGAGACCAAUGCAAGGUUGGAUGAGACUAAAAUACAUAAGAGCAAUUCCACCGGGGACCAAAUGUCCCAGCCUCCAGUCCAAAAACCAAGCCAGGCCUCUGUCAAUCAAGUCCACCCCAACAAACUGACUGGUACCCAGCCCGAGUUGGGCAAGAGCCCAGCCCAAAAGAGACUGAGACAGAAGCCGGGGAAGAAGCCUGGCGCGUGCACUUCACGUAGCCGUUUGGCGAGUGCCCGACAAGCUUUCAGACGCCGGGGCCCGCGUGCAGGCGCUGUCAGUCCCCCCCCCGAGUUGCGACGUGGCUACCUCUCUGCCGUUGGAUUUCCAACGGCUAGUUUUCUAGACCGUUGGAUUUCCAACGGUAAAAAAAUUUUAAAUUUUACUUUUAAACUAGACCGUCGGAUCAAAGAUCAACGGUCCACGUUUUUUUCACAAAAAGUAAAUUAAAAAAAAAAAAAAAGGGCCCAACGGUCAGAAAUAUGACCGUUGGCCACGUGGCAACUCCCUAGCUCUUGGAUUUGAAUAUUUUUCAAAUCCAACGGUCCAGAUUAAUUAACUAUAUUAAAAUUCAUUAAAAAUUAUUAAAAAAUACAGAAAAAUUAUUAAAAAAUACAGAAAAUUUUAAAAAAAUUACAGAAAAUUUUGAAAAAUGUUAAUUUUUUUUCCUAUAAAUACCUAACCCUCAUCUUCUACCUUUACACCACAUUCCAAUAUUUUCUACACUUUCUAUACUAUCUACAUUUCAAAAUAUUUUCUACACUUUAAGAGAAAAAAAAUGUCUUCGUGGAAGCUCAUUGAAGAUGUUACGUUGUGUGAAUGUUGGGUUCACACUACUCAUGAUCCGAUUACGGGUAAUGAGAUGGAUAAGCGAGAGAUGUGGAGUAAAAUUACGAAAGCGUUUUGUGAUGUACAUGGAGAAAACGCCAGAACUAGUCAAGGUCUUCAAGGUCGUUGGAAAAAACUCAAUGCAUCAUUUACUUGUUGGAAAAACGCCAUCUCUCAUGCUUCCGGUAACCUCCGUAGUGGGACAAGUUUAGCGGAUCAGGUGACAAUAUUUUUUAUUUAUUUAUAUGCAUUCCACUCACAUUAAUAUUUUGAUUUAUUUAAUUUCGUAUGUAAUUUUUAUCUUAUUUCUUAUGUAAUUUUUAUUUAAUUUCUUAUGUAAUUUUUAUUUAAUUUCUUAUGUCAUUUUUAUGUAAUUUAUAUGCAUUCCACCCGUAUUAAUAUUUUGAAUUUAUUUAUUUGUGUUACACCCGCAUUUUUUAACACUAUGUUAUCCCACUUUUUUAUAGACACUACAAGCUCAAGCAUUCUACAAUUCAAAGAACGGGAACAAAUCAUUCAAUAGAUUGGAAUGUUGGCAAAUUGUCAAAGAUUGCCCUAAAUACAAAAUUGUGGCAACUGGUCCAGAAGUUGUCAUGCACGGUAUGGGUCUACAUAGUUCUCCAGAACCAGACAUGGCCGAACAAGAAGCCGACACAUUUCAAGACACGGAAGGGACGGCUGAACAAGUGCCCGAGACCCAACCGACUCGUCAGUCCCUAAGGCCUCUAGGUAAAAAGGCGUCAAAGAAAAAAGGUAGUUCUUCCAAAAAAUGACUACACUAAAUAUAUGGAGGAACUUGCUCGCCAAGGUGAACUAAACUUGGCACGAGAAAAGGCUAGAGAUGAGGAAAAAGUUGCUGCUAUGGCAGCAAUAUUAGCAGCUACUGAGGCCCGUGAUGCGGCGGCUGAAAGACAAAGAGAAGUAGUUAAUCGAGAGAACGAGCUGGUUAGAGAAGCACUUCAUCGAGAAAAUGAAUUGCUUCGAGAAGAAAGGAUGGCUCAAGCAUCGUGAUCGUGACACUAUGAGCAAGUCUCUAGUAGGACUGUCUCCGAAUUCUAAAUAUUUUUUAGACAUCGGAAAAAGAGAUGCCAUGCGUAGGAGGCGUGCAAGAGAUGCGGAAACAAGUCAAGGGGGUUCUAGCUACACAAAUCAUGGCAACCAAGAUCCUAGCACCACAUAUCCUAACUCGAGAGACUUUAUUUAAUUUCUUAUGUAUUUUUAUGUAUUUUCUUUCUUUUUUCUAGUAGAACUUUAUUUAAUUUCUUAUGUUUUUUCUUUUUUUUAGGUUUGAACUUUAUUUAUUUUCUUAUGCAAUUUUAAUGUAAUUAUUUAUUUAAUUUCUUUUGUACUUUAUUUAAAACACAUGAAAUAAGAUUACACAUAAACUCACCAAAUAAAUUUAAAAACAAAACACAUUACAUAGAAUUACAUAAACUCACCAAAUAAACUUAAAAACAAAACACACUACAUAGAAUUACAUAAACUCACCAAAUAAACUUAAAAACAAAACACACUACAUAGAAUUACUUAAACUUAAAAAAAAAUACAAUUUAUUCUUCAACCACAAGCCUCAUUCUAAUUAUCUUCGCCUCCAUGCAAUCCCCACUGGUGCUCAAUCAAGUCAUUCUGGCGGGUUACGUGCCAGUAUGGCUCUUGCACAUUAGUGUACCGCUGAACGAUCAAUUCAUUGUAACGUCCAUCACGUUCCAACGGCUCGUGUUGCACUGGAUCUUCGGUCCCAUCAUGAGCACAAUAAAUACGUGUUCUUGAGUUGUUCAUCGGAUCUGGCUCAUAUUCAUCGACGGCAUCAUAAUCAUACUCAUCUUCAACAAUCAUGUUAUGGAGAAUAAUACACGUCAUCAUGAUGGAUCGAAGAGCCUCGACAUCAAACAUUCUAGCUGCAGCCCUGACAAUCGCCCAACGAGCUUGCAGGAUACCAAAACAACGCUCGACAUCCUUCCUACACCCUUCUUGACAUUUUGCAAAGUGUUUUUCCUUUUCAGUCUGUGGAUGUGGCACUGUUUUGACAAAUGUUGACCACCUUGGGUAAAUGCCAUCUGCAAGGUAGUAUGAUCCCUCGUAUUGGGUACCAUUAACCCAAUAUGUGCAUCUCGGCGAGUUUCCUUGCAGCAGUUCGUCGAACACUGGGGAUUGGGCAAGGACAUUUAGGUCAUUUUGAGCUCCUGGAACACCAAAAAAAGCAUGCCAAAUCCAUGUAUCAAAUGAAGCCACCGCUUCCAAAAUGAUGCUUUUGGCUCCUUUUCUGUCGCCAUAUGCUCCUUGCCACGCACUUGGACAGUUUUUUCCAAGUCCAGUGCAUGCAGUCGAUGCUUCCAAUCAUGCCAGGGAAGCCUCGCAUCUCACCCUUCCUCAGAAGCCUUCGCAUGUCCCUUGACGUGGGUGUCCGGAGGUACUCUUUGGUGUAGAGGGCUUCAAUUGCAGAGCAAAACCGCAUCAGGGACUCCAGAACAGUUGUUUUUCCCAUCCUCGCGAUCUCAUCCACUUGAUCUGCAGAUGCUCCAUAUGCAAGCAUUCGCAAGGAUGCCGUAAUUUUUUGCUCGGGAAUAAGACCUAGAACAUGAAAAGCAUCCUCUUUUUGCACAAAGUAUGAAUCAUUGUUGCAAAUAUCACUCAUGAUUUUGUUGAACAAAUGUCGUUGCAUUCUAAAACGCCGUCUAAACAUGAUCAGGGAAUAUGCUAUUGGGAAUAAAAUAGUCUUCCAAUAGAUUUUUACCUCGUUUUUCCCUUUUUCUAUCGAGGUUUGCAACACGUCUUGGUUUGGCUAUCUGACCCACGGCUUCCAUGACACGGCGGGAAUGUGAGGCCUUCUGCCUUCUAUGGUGAUCAUCCUCAUCCUCCUCCAUGAAGAAAGCCUCAUCUCCACCUCCACCUUCCUCGAGAUUGGCCAAUUCUGCCUGUUGUGCCAACAACCUUUGUUGUUGCUCUUGCAACUGCUUAUACACCCUUCUUGAAGAAGACAUUGUAAUAAGAACUCAAGAUUUGAAAAUGAUGAACAAGGAUUCUGAGCUAAAAAGAAGGAUUGAGCUUGGUGUGAGGAUGGAUGUAGGGAUGUAGGGUUUAUAUGGACAAAAAAAGAAAGGAUGAGGUUCUGGACAAUGCCACGUGGCACUACGUGAUUGGUUGAAAAUCUUAUCGAAAUCUUGGCUAAAUUAUUGUAAACCGGAAGUGACACGUGGCGUGUCAGGAUUGGUCGAGAAUAUUAUCGAAAAUCUAUCCACAAAAUAGUACGUUCGGAUAAUGACACGUGGCAUGACGUGAUUGGUUGAAAAUCUUAUCGAAAUCUUGGCUAAAUUAUUGUACCAUGGAAGUGACACGUGGCGUGUCGGGAUUGGUUGAAAAUAAUAUCGGAAAUCUAUUCACAAAAUAGUACGUUCAGAUAAUGACACGUGGCGUGACGAGAUUGGUUAAAAAUCCUAUCCGAAAUUAAAACUAUUUUAUUUUUUUAUUCUUUAUUUUAAAUGGGUUAAAAAUCUUAUCCGAAAUAAACUUAAAAAAAAAACACACCAAAUAAAUGCGCUGGGUGCUAGCGCAUUUUUUUAGGGGUGGAGAUGCCUUGGCCUAUUACUGUUCACUCCAGUCUAUUACUGUUCAUUUGAGUGGAUAAAUGCGCUGGGUGCUGGCGCAAAGUCCACAGGGGUGGAAUUGCUCUAAAGUCUCGUGUUUUGAUGAGAUGUGGUCUACAAAUGAUAUAGCAUGUGCCCUACGAAAAAUGAGAUCGGAUUACCUAUUUGAAGCUUCUCUAGUAUGAAAAAUUCAAGAGGGAUGUGACGGGUCCGGAAAAUAAAAAAUCACACAUUUUUAUUAAUAAUUUUUUUGUUCGAAUUCGGAAAUGUAUAGAACUGAACAAAUGGAAUAGUAGCUCAGUGAUACCAACAAUUUCAUGUUGCAAAUCACAAAACAAAAAAAAAGGAACUGUUUUACACAAAAUUAAUGACAAUUAGAGUUGAACAACAGAAGCUUGCACUUUAAACGGUUUUUUUCUGCUGCUUUUGGUAUGUAUAUGCUUUUUCCAUGUCUCGAUGUAGUGCCAGUUCACAGGUCAUCAUCCUGGAACAAUGCUUUCGAAACAGAGCCGCACGGCUGGCUACUGUAUUCUCGGUAAUCUUCAUCGUCAUCCCAGCUGCGUUGCGAGCAUGAACGUUUGAUUCCUGUCAUUGGGGUUUCACAUACUCUGUCAUCACAUGAACCUCUAUGAUCCUUCCUUUUAAACAGCUUUCGAAGCGGAUUUAACUUUGGUUUCAAUGGUUUCAGCUGUUUUGGGGCCCAAACUCUCUGCAGAUCGGGCAUCCAUCUUGUGGAUGAAGCGAAUCUCCAAGCCCUCUCUCUCCUCUCUUGAGCUUCAAGUAACUUGCGAGCAUGGUCGUCGUUUUGUUUGAUCUCUUCAGCGCUCGGUCUUCCAAUAUCAGUUUUCAGCGGACGAAGAGACUCACCUUCUGCUGAUAAUGAGUCCCAGAUUCUAUAACUUUCAUCCACUUCGACACUCUUUGGUUUUUCUUUACAGGAUUGAUUGCUAUCCUCACUGUUGAGUAAACUAAUAGGGAGUUCUUCCUCAUCGGCAAACAGUAGCAAAUCCAUUUUUGUAUAGAUUUUGUGAACCACAUCUUCAAGUGUCUCACAGUACCUGAAAAUGUCCAAAUUCAAAGAUUAAUCUACCUGCUUAAUUCUCCAUCUCAAACAAAAAUUGAUCACCUGCAUUUGUACAUCAGGAAACUAAAUGCAGGAAUGAAUUAUUUAAGCUCCAUCAUUUCAAGGAUCAUACCGUAGGCUAAUAUGCUAUUGCAGAAGUUGUAUAAACAUAUUCCUCACUCGUUCAGAAAAACAUGCCUACGAUGUGCGGAUAACUGGCUUAUACCCUGUAAAUCUACACUAAUAAGGAAACACACUUAACUCAUCUAAGAUUAUAAAGAUAAUCACUUUCCUUUUUUAGCAUUAUUGCAAAGGUAAGUAGGAGAGCAUUGGAUGGGCAGUAAUAUCCCACAGGAAAGUGGAAACAGUGGCACCGGAAAUGUGUAUUUGAUGAGACAUGAACGGUAGACUGAAUGAGUGUCGAGAAAGCCAUAACGACUCGGUAAAACAUCCAUUAUAUAAAGUAAAGAAUAAUGCGAAAGGCAGGGGUUUUCAACUCUGGUACAGAUUUAUUACCUGCUUUUUAUGAUCCUUUCAACAUAAUCAUCUACACUCCAGUCACCAAAGAAGCCCUCCAGAUGACAUCGAAUUUUCUCCAAAAACGAGCAAAUCUGUUUUACAAACUUCUGUUUCAUAGAUUCUGCAAUACUUGCACCAACCUCUGAUUGUAGUAUCUCCAUACGGAAAAAUAUCUGCAAUUCAUAUCUAGUACUAGGUGAAGGAAAAGUGUAAAUGUAAUUGGAGACAAAUUUUCAUAUUGGUAGAGUUAUAACUGGAUUAAUGCAUAAUACAGAAGACAGUUCAGUUAUAAAUGAGAAAGGAUACUCUCGAACUAUUUUUCCAGAAGUCAGUCCUUCAGAUUCUGAAUCGGAUGCUUUAACAAACGGGCCGGAGCUUUUCUGCCUUGCAGUGAUAUCCUUGGGAUCUCUCAGUAGAAGUUUUAACACCUCAGCAGAAACCAAAUCAUCAGUAGCACCAGAUUUUACAAGGGAAGUUUGACUCUCUGAAAGGGCUUCUGUUUCCUGCUUUUUAUUUAACCAAUAUAUGGAUGAAUUCACAAGCCGAUAUGCCAAUGCCCCCAAGUCUACUGCUUCAUAUUCAAGCCCCUGUUGUAUCUUGUUGGAUAGACUACUGAAAAAAUCUUCCGACGUUUCUGAUCUAAAUUCCAAAGCAGCUUCAUCUUGUAUGCCAGAAGCCACAGUCAAAGAAUUUUCUCCAAUGGAAGGAGAUGAAGAAAUUGGCUGUUCACUUUCAUGGUGCAAGUUAUCCAACCUAUUGUCCAUCCCUUUUCUAUUGAGCUGGUCUGCCUGGGAUUCUUUCUCCACUAUUAGACCACGAUCGCUAGACUUCUUAAUUUGUUUCAUCCAGCAUUUCAGAAAUCGUAUCUUUUUUGAGUUAUAACAUUCCCUGGCAAAGUAAACCUCUUCCAAACCUAUCUCUGAGUGUUCAAAUGCUGCCUUGUAGAAGGCACUCCAUGUGAGAUCUUGUAGCAACUGUGAAUUUCUUUUGUUAUUUCUCUUCCUUCCCUCCUUGCCUGCAGAAUGCUUAUUGGAUGGCCCAGUUUGGUCCAAAUCAGCAUUCGGUUCGCAAAUCCCAUUCUUCAUAUUUCGACUUGAUUGGUCUGCUUUUGCUCCACCAAUAUCAUGCACUUUUGUCUGAGGGUGAAAUCCUUCAUCCACAAUAAACAGCCGAGCCGAAGAAACUGUGAAAGGUUUGAGAAUUCCGGUAGACGAUACACCACUGUCACUUGAAAGAGACACUAAUGCUCCAUGACCAUUCCUAUAUAAGAAACUCAAGAGAAUCUGCCAAAUGGGUGCUGACUUUCUCUUUGCAUUCUCACCCAAGUCCACUGCUACCACUUCUAGAACCUUAUCUGCAUAAUAAUUGCCAGAACUUUCUUUUCCAUCUUCACCAGGUUUUCCCAAAACAUCACAGACAAGGACUGGAUCAGAUAAGUGCCCCUUGAAUUUCAGAAACUCAUUGUACUUUUGCAAAGCCUUAACCUGGAACUUUGUCACGCCUUUGACAAAAUACCCCCAGAACAAUUCCUUCAGUUUACCACCCUUUGUUUGUGAAUUCAUGAUUUCUAGGGAAAAGAAAGCAUCAUCAGCUGCAUUUCUAGGCAACUUCUUCAAAUCAACCAAUUGAAGAUCACAAACCUUGCAUUCCAAAGGCUUCCCACUUACAUCUAAGAUCUCGAGACUCAACUGCGCAUUGACUUUCUUAUGACUAUCAUCACAACCGAAAAACUUGGAUGAAAUCCCUAUCUCGGGAUAAAUCAAACCAAAGGAAACAAGAGCAGAGCCAAGAAUAAUCCAACCAGUCGAGCAAAAUCCCCAUCCCAAACUCCUAACCCCACUCUCGAAAAACCCAAAUCUCGUCUUAUCCUCAUCGUUCCCAACCUUACCCUCACCACAUUCUAAUUCAUACCUGACAUCAACCCAGCUACACUGAAUAUCUCUACUCACAAAUGCUUCAUUCACAUUCUCAAAGAAACCCCUAAAUCUCUCGGAAAACGCUUUCACAUUUUCCAAAGACUCGUCACCCACACCCACUGUUAGGUCACAACUUCUAAAUUCCCUUUCUCGACCUGCUAGUAGCUGAUAGUAAUGGCGGUGAGUGAGUGGGAAGGAAGAUAGAGAGAGAUAGAAAGUUUCUUGUAAUAUUGUUUUUCUAAUUCAAUCCUGCAGAACAAUGCCACAAUUUGGUUCUUAUACAACCAUCCUUCUCACAAUGCCAGCUGGCUACUAACAAUAACGACAUGUAGCUAAAUAGUUUUCCACUAUUAUUCUAACCACUAUUAUAAUCAUAACACUACCCCUCCCUUACAAAAUAAACCUUGUCCUCAAGGUUAGAAUUAAAGACUGAAAUCAGGAAAUCUGGCAGCAAACUCGUCAUAAUCCUCCCAUGUAGUUUCGUCCUCUUUGUUGUUCUUCCACUGGAUUAACAACUGAACUCCAGCAGCUUGGCCCUUCUUGUAGACCCUCAUUUGUAGCACCUUGAGUGGUUCGAGUGGUAGCAACCCAUCAUCAGUGACAGUAGGCAAGAAUGGAGUUAUGUGACCUUGUCUCCCAAGUGCUUCUUCAAGCAACUAACAUGAAAGACUGGAUGAAUUUUUGAAUUCUCAGGCAGUUUCAAUCGGUAGGCAACCUUCCCAAUAUUUUCCAAAACCUCAUAAGGACCAUAGUACCGGGGAUGAAGCUUAUGGUAAGCAUGAGAUGACAAAGAUUGCAAUUGAUAGGGAAUUAAUUUCAAAUACACCAAAUCUCCUUCCUCGAAAACCCUCUCACUCCGAUGCUUAUCUGCUUGUGUUUUCAUCCGGUUCUGAGCUACUAGUAAAUUGGUCCUGAGCAUUGCUAAUAUUUUGUCCCUAGUUAGCAGCCCUUGCUCCACUAUAUCCAACUUAGCAGUGCCAAGCUCAUAAGACGCGAUGUGUGGUGGUGGAUAACCAUAGACCACUUCGAAGGGGGUGAACUUUGAGGAAGUGUGGUAGGAAGUGUUAUAGCUCCAUUCUGCCCAUGGAAGCCAGUGGAGCCACUUCUUAGGUUGACAGCUAGUGAAGCAUCGCAAGUAAGUUUCAAGGCACCGAUUCACCACCUCUGUCUGGCCAUCACUCUGUGGAUGGUAACCCGAGCUCAUACACAACUUGGAGCCUUGCAACUUAAAAAAAUUCUUUCCAAAAAACACUCAUGAAAAUGGUGUCCCUGUCACUCACAAUGGUAGAGGGCAUCCCAUGGAGUUUAAACACAUUAUCAACAUAUUCCUGAGCUACCAUGCUUGCCGUAUACGGAUGUGCUAAGGGGAUGAAAUGAGCAUACUUGGACAGCCUGUCUACGAUUACCAGGAUCACUGAUUUGCCUUUGCACAGAGGUAAACCAGUGAUGAAAUCCAUGCUUAUAUCCUUCCAUACAUGUGUAGGGAUCGGCAGAGGUUGAAGUAAUCCGGGAGGGGAAAUGGUUUCAUACUUAUUUUGCUGGCAUUCCCGACAUUCAGCCACCCAUGACCUGAGAUCUUUCUUCAUUCCUACCCAAUAGAAGCCCCUCUUCAAUAUCUGAUAAGUCUUUAGAACCCCUUUCAUGGCCUGCACUUGGAGAAGAGUGAUGUUCCUCAAAGACCUUCCUUUUCCAACUUGAAUCUGGGCUAAGCACGAUCCGUCCUUUGUAUUUGAGGAAACCGUUGUCUAAAUGGUACUUGGACAGAUUGGGGUCAAUUGCAGCAGCUUAAGAAUAUGCUAACACCUUCUGCACCUUGCUUUGAAUCCAACUAUCUUGUUCUAACCCUCUCCGAAGUUCAUCUAGCCACCCGAAGUAGGGGUAUGUGAUAGCUUUGCACUCCAAUAAGUCACUGAGAGGUUUCUCUUGUAAUUGAGACGAACCAACUACUCGAGAUAAGGCAUCAGCCAUUAUGUUGUCAUUGCCUUGCCUAUAUUGUAUCUCAUAAUCAAAUCCCAACAACUUGGCCACCCAUUUCUGUUGGAACGGGGUAGUAGUUCUUUGACUCAGAAAGUAUUUCAAGCUGCUAUGAUCUGUCUUUAUGAUGAAAUGGCGCCCUUGAAGGUAGUUUUGCCAUUUUUUGAUAGCACUAACAAUGGCAAUCAACUCUCUUUCGUAUGUAGACAAUGCUUAAUUCCGUGGUCCCAAUGCUUGACUUGUGAAAGCUAUAGGUCUGCCAUUCUGUUGCAACACAGCCCCUAUUCCAUUGCCAGAUGCAUCACAUUCCAAAGUGAAGGGAAUAGCAAAAUUGGGUAAGGCUAAUAGCUGCGGAGAAGUCAUUGUUCUUUUUAAUGCUUGGAAAGCUGCCGUGGCUUCAGGGGACCAAUUGAAACCAUCAUUUUUUGUUAGUUGAUACAAGGGUUGACACACCUUGCCAUAACCGGGGAUGAAUUUUCUAUAAUACCCUGAGAGCCCGAGAAAUCCCCUCAACUCUUUGACAUUUUUCGGUAUCGGCCAAUCUAUAAUUGCUUGAAUUUUAGUAGGAUCUGCAGCCACCCCAUCACGAGAGACGAUGUGCCCCAAGUAUUCCACCUGUGAUUGGCCAAAAGAGCAUUUCGAUUUCUUCACUGCUAAUUGGUGUUUCUGUAAUAACUCCAAAGUUUGGUGCAAGUGUGAAAGAUGGUCCUCCCAGGUCUUGCUGUACACCAAAAUGUCGUCAAAGAACACCAAGAUGAAUUUCCGGAGGUAAGGCUUAAAAAUGUCAUUCAUAAGGGCUUGGAAAGUGGCAGGAGCAUUUGUAAGACCAAAGGGCAUGACUAAGAAUUCAUAAUGCCCUUGGUGAGUUCGGAAGGCAGUCUUUUCCACAUCGGAGGGACAUACGGAUCUGAUGAUAUCCAGACCUAAGAUCAAGCUUAGAAAAAUACUGAGCGCCAUGCAAUUCAUCUAACAAAUCAUCCACUAAUGGAAUAGGAUAUUUAUCCUUAAUGGUAAUGCUGUUCAAUUCACGAUAGUCCAUGCAAAGCCUCCAAGUGCCCUCCUUCUUCUUGACCAAGAGAACUGGAAAUGAAAAGGGACUAUGACUUGGCUGGAUGAAUCCAGCAUCUAAAAGUUCUUGCACAGCUCGUUCAAUCUCAGUUUUUUGCAUAGGACCAUAAUGGUAUGGUCUAAUACUCGGAGGCUUGGAACCAGGAAGCAAUGGAAUCUGGUGAUCAUGAGCCCGUGGAGGUGGUAAGGUAGUAGGAGGCUUAAAAACCGUUUCAAAUUGCCUGAGCAUACCCUGCAGCUCAAUGAGUUGCUGGGGAUUCAAGUUGGAUGCCUCCAACGGAUUAGUUUCCAUUGAAUACAAUAAGACGCCCCAAUUAGAGUAUUUAAACUCUUUUUCAAGCUGUUGACAAACAGUAUCCUGUACCAAGUACGCUGGAGCAGUGGAAUGAACAAGUUUAUAGUGGUCUUUUCCCACAGAAAAUUCCAUGGUUAAGUUGUGAAAAUCCCACAAAACUGGACUCACAGAUGAGAGCCAUUUCACACCCAAUACAACAUCGCAACCCCCUAGAGGAAGUGCGUAGAGGUUAGUGUGGCAGCGAUAUGCACCCAAUUCCAAGGGAAUUUGUUGGCAACAGCCUUGACUUCGGACUUUACCCCCAUCGGCAAUCAUGACAUCGAAGGGUUUGGUGGUGUGACAAGGCCACCCGAGCUGCUUAAGCAACCUAGAAUCCACAAAAUUGUGGGUGCUACCAGAGUCAAGUAGUAUGGUAACAGGUAGAGUGUGAAGCACACCAGCCACUUUCAUGGUUUGUACCGUGGAGGGCUCAGUAGUGCCAUAGAACGCACAAGCACUCAACUCCAUGCUUGAUAGGGAAAGAUCAAUAGGCUCCAGUAAUUCACACUCUGUAGGUUCCAGCAAUUCACACUCGGUAGGCUCCAACUCAUUACAAACAUCAAGCAUAAGGAGCUGUUUAUUAUGGACACAUUUGUGCCCUCGAACCCACUUUUCAUUACAGAACCAACACUCGCCCUUGUCCUUCUUCCGUUGAACUUCCUCGGGGGUAAGUUUCUUAUAAGGGAGGGUUUGAGGAUGAGGCCUGGUAAGGGAAGGUAGAGGUAAGGCGAGAGGAGGUUUGAGUGGGGGAUGAGGUUUUGGGGGAGAUGGUUUCAAGUCCGUGAGUUUAGCAUUUAAUUGGGCAGCAAAGGAAAUGGCCUCAUGAACUGAGGAAGGGCGAAGCAAUUUAACAUCGUAACGCAAUUCCUUCUUGAGACCCCCCAGAAAGCAACUCUUUAAGAGAAUAGGACCAACAUCAUAGGUUCGAGUGGCAAGGCGCCGAAAUUCCACAAUAUAAUCACGAAGAGGGCCGGUUUGGCGGAGUUUGAAUAGCGACUCAGUGCAGUCCUCAAACUCCGGUGGACCAAAUUCCUGGCACAAAGCAGUCGUGAAUUCACCCCAGGUGGGAGUGGAAUGUACACAAUCGCGCCAACGAAACCAGUACAGCGGCUCAUUCUUGAAGUGGAAGGAGGCGGUCAAAACCUUCUGAUUCUCCGGAGUGUGAUAAUAAGCAAAAUAUUGUUCGGCCUUAUAGAUCCACGCUGAGGGAUCAUCACCGUCGGAGAAACGGGGAAAAUCCAGACGAUGUGACCGCUGCGGGCGAGGAGUAAAACCGCCGCCUUCAAAAGAAUCACGGCGCUGAAACCGUGGAGUGUCGAGACAACGAAAAUCGCCAUCAUCGGUCACAAUGGGAGGAGGAAUAUGUGGAUCUGGCACUAGAGGUGGUGGUGCAGUCGAAGAGCCAGCACCGCCUUGAGGACCAGGGUCGCGAUGGAGAUGCUCCAGGAGAAGGGCGAAUUUGGUUUCGAGAGCGGUGAAGCGGGUGUCGGAAUUGGCGUUGGAAGUCUGGAUCAGCUGAGGAAUGGCUCCCAUGGCUUCCAGAGUAGCUUCCACGGCGGAGAGGCGCGAUUCAACAGUGGACAUUCGAGAAUUUGUGGUGUGGCGGGGCAUACAAGAGGGAGACUCAGGAUCGAGAGGCUGAUACCAAUUGUUAGGUCAAAACUUCUAAAUUCCCUUUCUCGACCUGCUAGUAGCUGAUAGUAAUGGCGGUGAGUGAGUGGGAAGGAAAAUAGAGAGAGAUAGAAAGUUUCUUGUAAUAUUGUUUUUCUAAUUCAAUCCUGCAGAACAAUGCCACAAUUUGGUUCUUAUACAACCAUCCUUCUCACAAUGCCAGCUGGCUACUAACAAUAACGACAUGUAGCUAAAUAGUUUUCCACUAUUAUUCUAACCACUAUUAUAAUCAUAACACCCACAUUCGGGAAUUCUGUCAAACAGUUUGCAGACACACAGACGGGCGAAAACAGAACUACCAAAUUAGACCUCACAGCAACCGAAUCACUAUUCGAGAACAUACCCAUCAUUGGAUCGCAGAUCACGGGGUCCCAGGCGUAGUCGUGCACGAGCUGGCGCAAGGAGACGGCGAAAUGCGGGGAGGGAAUUGAGGGUGUGGAAGAGGGAAUUGAAAGUGGGGCCGGGGAGGUGGAAAGAGAGGGAGAGAGAAGUGGGGAGCUUGGAGGAGGAGAGCAGCGGAGAGAGGGAGGAGAAGAAGGGUCUGAAGGCGAAGAGAGAGGCGGAGAGAAGAAGGAAGGAGAGGAUGGUUUUGACGGCGGCGAGGAGGGCGGUGAGAAAUGGAGCUGGGUUUUGGAGGUGGAGGAAUGGGUUGAGGUCUAGGAGGAGGACGAUGCGCACAGUGCCUGCCUAUCAUGUAAAACCAUUGACAAUGAUACAAGACAGUUUAUUUGGACCUAUAAAACUAUAUUUAUGUAAAACUAUAUUUUAUUCAAUUUCAAAAAUUAGUACAUGCAAUGACAUGUUUGAUCGUAAAAAAAAAAAAAAUGAGAAAUUUUCAGUGUAUCAGAAAUACGAAUCGGUAAAAAAUCUCUCCAAAAAUACAUAUGCAUGUUUUAUUCAAAAGGAAAGGAAUGAGGCGCCAUCAUCCCUAACACACUUUAUUACAAGUAGUAUCAUCCAUUGAGGCAGAGAAGUUAAUUAGAUGCUGUCCUUAAUGGAUGCACUAUAACCGUUGUCAUAGAACCUGUUCCAAAGCAUAACUCCUCCGUACUUGGCCGAAUUCUUAAUUGUUGGAAGGACUUGUGACUUGAGAGCAUCAGCAGGAAUAAAUCCGCUGCGCGCGGCAUCAGUAGACGCCGGUAUCCCCAAGAACACCUGGGUGGCCGAAACCGAGGCCCAUCGGUUCCAACUGCUCAAAAGAGCGUCGGCAUUACCGUCUGCAUACUGGCAUUGGGCUAGGGGGUUGUUGUAGAACUGAACCCAAACGUAGUCAAAUAAACCGGUUGGAUAGCGCCGUCUAGGUGAGUAUCCGGGAACGGGCAUUGUGGAGCUGCGGCUAAAUAGACCGUUUUUCCCUGUCCGUUGUGUCCUUUGAGUGACCUGGCGAGCUCGUCGUAGAACUGCGUACCACCCAACUCAAUGUCGAAAUCGACGCCGUCCAAAACCGCGUCCCCAAGCGGGCGCGAAUCUGACUGACCACCUAGGAA
This 33062-nucleotide long non-coding RNA is filed under the name Malus domestica (apple). Its description in RNAcentral is "long non-coding RNA (MDOM_LNC001224)". Lineage: Eukaryota; Viridiplantae; Streptophyta; Magnoliopsida; Rosales; Rosaceae. The record is from RNAcentral.